Molecule: ribosomal RNA, 623 nt
Filed under: uncultured marine bacterium
Lineage: Bacteria
Description: bacterial SSU rRNA
Rfam family: Bacterial small subunit ribosomal RNA
Source: RNAcentral
CGGCCUACACAUGCAAGUCGAGGGGUAACAGGAGAAAGCUUGCUUUCUCGCUGACGACCGGCGAACGGGUGCGUAACACGUAUGUAACCUACCUAUAACAGGAGAAUAGCCUACUGAAAAGUGGAUUAAUGCUCCAUAAUAUACAUUAAAGGCAUCUUUUUUGUAUUAAAGCUCCGGCGGUUAUAGAUGGACAUGCGGAACAUUAGCUUGUUGGUGAGGUAACGGCUCACCAAGGCAACGAUGUUUAGGGGGUCUUAGAGGAUGAUCCCCCACACUGGUACUGAGACACGGACCAGACUCCUACGGGAGGCAGCAGUGAGGAAUAUUGCGCAAUGGAGGAAACUCUGACGCAGCCAUGCCGCGUGCAGGAAGAAGGCCUUAUGGGUUGUAAACUGCUUUUAUAUGCCAAGAAAACCUAGUACGUGUACUAGACUGACGGUAGCAUAUGAAUAAGGAUCGGCUAACUCCGUGCCAGCAGCCGCGGUAAUACGGAGGAUCCAAGCGUUAUCCGGAUUUAUUGGGUUUAAAGGGUUCGUAGGCGUAAUAUUAAGUCUGCGAUGAAAUCCUACAGCUCAACUGUAGAACUGCCAAUGAUACUGGUUUUCAUGACGACAAAUGAAGGG